AUGUUUACUGUGGGCUUAGACGUUGAUACGCGUGCCUACUUCACCGCAGCUACCAUGAUCAUAGCUGUGCCCACAGGAAUCAAAAUCUUUAGUUGGAUCGCUACCAUGUGGGGAGGUUCGAUACAAUACAAAACACCCAUGUUAUUUGCUGUAGGGUUCAUCUUUUUGUUCACCAUAGGAGGGCUCACUGGAAUAGUUCUAGCAAACUCUGGGCUAGACAUUGCUCUAGAUGAUACUUAUUAUGUGGUUGCACAUUUCCAUUAUGUACUUUCUAUGGGAGCCGUUUUUGCUUUAUUGCUGGAUUUUACUAUUGGGUGGGUAAAAUCUUUGGUCGGACAUAUCCUGAAACUUUAG
RNAcentral lists this ribosomal RNA (354 nucleotides) under Triticum aestivum (bread wheat). RNAcentral's name for it is "partial small subunit ribosomal RNA". The record is from RNAcentral. Lineage: Eukaryota; Viridiplantae; Streptophyta; Magnoliopsida; Poales; Poaceae.